Molecule: non-coding RNA, 59 nt
Filed under: Sus scrofa (pig)
Lineage: Eukaryota; Metazoa; Chordata; Mammalia; Artiodactyla; Suidae
Source: RNAcentral
CACCGGCCCGGGGCUGCCUCCAUUUUCUCGGGUGGUGGAGGCGGCCCCGGCCCGGUAUC